RNAcentral lists this ribosomal RNA (440 nucleotides) under uncultured bacterium. RNAcentral's name for it is "partial 16S ribosomal RNA". It matches the Rfam family "Bacterial small subunit ribosomal RNA", at positions 338 to 795 of the family's 1533-position model. The record is from RNAcentral.
CCUACGGGAGGCAGCAGUGGGGAAUAUUGCACAAUGGGGGAAACCCUGAUGCAGCGACGCCGCGUGAGGGAAGAAGUCUCUCGGGAUGUAAAGCUCUAUCAGCAGGGAAGAAAAUGACGGUACCUGAUUAAGAAGACCCGGCUAACUACGUGCCAGCAGCCGCGGUAAUACGUAGGGGGCAAGCGUUAUCCGGAGUUACUGGGUGUAAAGGGAGCGUAGACGGCAUGUCAAGUCUGUAGUGAAAUGCUGUGGCUUAACCCCGGAACUGCUUUGGAAACUGGGCAGCUAGAGUGCAGGAGAGGUAAGUGGAAUUACUAGUGUAGCGGUGAAAUGCGUAGAUAUUAGGAGGAACACCAGUGGCGAAGGCGGCUUACUGGACUGUAACUGACGUUGAGGCUCGAAAGCGUGGGGAGCAAACAGGAUUAGAUACCCGAGUAGUC